GUGGCCGUAGCUCAGUUGGUUAGAGUGCCAGAUUGUGACUCUGGAGGCCGGGGGUUCAAAUCCCCUCGGUCACC
Molecule: transfer RNA, 74 nt
Filed under: Chitinophagaceae bacterium
Lineage: Bacteria; Pseudomonadati; Bacteroidota; Chitinophagia; Chitinophagales; Chitinophagaceae
Description: tRNA-His
Rfam family: tRNA
About the family: Transfer RNA (tRNA) molecules are approximately 80 nucleotides in length.
Source: RNAcentral